This 1646-nucleotide long non-coding RNA is filed under the name Homo sapiens (human). RNAcentral describes it as "non-protein coding lnc-LNPEP-5:2". Lineage: Eukaryota; Metazoa; Chordata; Mammalia; Primates; Hominidae. The record is from RNAcentral.
AGCAUGGACACUUAGAGAACAAAAGGACAAGAUAAUAAAGUACACAAUGAUUCUUUGCAUCAGAAGGAUGUGGUUCAUGACAAUGACUUUCAGCCCUACCUUUCUGGAGAGUCAAAUUAGAGUAACAAUUACCCUUCAGUGAGUGACCUCUACCUGUCCGGCUAUUACCCACCAUCCACUGGAGUUCCUUAAUCCCUCAAUGAGGCUCUGUGGUCCACUGCAAGGGACCCUUUGAUUCUACACCUCAUCACCUAUGAACAGCUCAGUAACAGAGAUCAUAAUUUUAUGCACAAUUCUAUUUUGGGGUGGCCUUGGGGUCCGGAGAACAAAAUCUAUCAGCACAGGUUUAAUUUUUACCCCCAAACCCUGUAUUCUUGGCAUGGAGGACAAGUGGGUCUCAAGGGUAGCAGAUUCAGAGCUCUACAUAUGGGAGCAGCUACACCUACCCCCAAGCUCCCUGGGCCACGCAGUGGUUGAUGGGCAGAUGGGCUUUCACAGCGACACCCUUAGCAAGGCCCCUGGGGUGAACAGCCUGAAGCAGGGCAUAGUCAGCCUGAAAAUUGGGGAUGUCAUCUCCUCUGCAGUCAAGACAGUGGGCUCUGUCAUCAGCAGUGUGGCACUGAUUGGCAUACUUUCUGGCAAUGAUGGGACAUAUGUGAACAUGGCAGUUUCAAAGCUGACCUCAUGGGCCGCCAUUGCCAGCAAGCCUGCAAAACCACGGCCUAAAAUGGAAACAAGGAGUGGGCCUGUCAUAGGGGGGUGCAUUGCCCCCUCCAUCUAUAAAGCAUAACAUGGGUAUUGACACCCAGGAUAACAAGGGGCCUGUGCUGAAGACCCCGGCCCCCCAGGAGACAUGAUCCUCACAGGCUGUCCUACAACCCCAGAAGGUGCUUCAGCUUCUCCCAGUGAAGCUUCCUGCUUUGGCUCAACCACAGUAUCAGAGCCCUCAGCAGCCAUUCCAGACCUGCUGGAUCAUUCCUCACGUGGAAAUAUGGCAUUUGGGCAGAGCAGAGGGGCUGACAGUGGUAGUAACUCUCCUGGAAAUACCAAGACUAAUUCUGCCCCAAGUAUAAAAAAAAGUGAAAGCUGCCCACAGUUAUAAUCCUAAAGAAUUUGACUGGAAUCUUAAAAGUGGACAUGUACGCAUUAUAAAGAGCUAUUCUGAGGAUGACAUUCACCACUCCAUUAAGUACUCCCUUUUGUGUAGUACAGAACAUGGCACUACUUAGUUGAAUAGUGCAUUCAGCUCCAUAAGCAGCAAGGGGCCUGUCUGCCUGCUCUUUGGCAUCAGUGGGAGUGAGUAUUUCUGUGGGGUGGCGGAGAUGAAGUGCUCUGUGGACAGCAGCACCAGUGCCGGAGUCUGGUCUCAAGACAAAUGGAAGGGGAAGUUUGAUGUCGAGUGGAUUUUUGUCAGUGAUGUACCCAAUAACGAGCUCAGGCACAUCAGACUGGAGAAUCAUGACAACAAGCCAGUCAUAAACCAUGACACACAGGAGGUGCCUUUAGAAAAAGAAAAACAAGUGCUGAAAAUUAUUGCUUCCUACAAGCACACAACCUUUAUCUUUGAUGACUUUUCUCACUACGCGAAAUGCUAGGACGAUGAGGAGGUGAUGUGCAAGGAAUGACACAAUCAAAAUAAACAAUAA